Molecule: ribosomal RNA, 504 nt
Filed under: uncultured bacterium
Lineage: Bacteria
Description: partial 16S ribosomal RNA
Rfam family: Bacterial small subunit ribosomal RNA
Source: RNAcentral
GACGAACGCUGGCGGCGUGCCUAAUACAUGCAAGUAGAACGCACAGUUUAUACCGUAGCUUGCUACACCAUAGACUGUGAGUUGCGAACGGGUGAGUAACGCGUAGGUAACCUGCCUGGUAGCGGGGGAUAACUAUUGGAAACGAAAGCUAAUACCGCAUAAUAUUAAUUAUUGCAUGUUAAUUAAUUGAAAGGUGCAUUUGCACACCUACCAGAUGGACCUGCGUUGUAUUAGCUAGUAGGUGAGGUAACGGCUCACCUAGGCGACGAUACAUAGCCGACCUGAGAGGGUGAUCGGCCACACUGGGACUGAGACACGGCCCAGACUCCUACGGGAGGCAGCAGUAGGGAAUCUUCGGCAAUGGACGAAAGUCUGACCGAGCAACGCCGCGUGAGUGAAGAAGGUUUUCGGAUCGUAAAGCUCUGUUGUAAGAGAAGAACGGGUGUGAGAGUGGAAAGUUCACACUGUGACGGUAUCUUACCAGAAAGGGACGGCUAACUACGU